Molecule: ribosomal RNA, 279 nt
Filed under: uncultured bacterium
Lineage: Bacteria
Description: partial 16S ribosomal RNA
Rfam family: Bacterial small subunit ribosomal RNA
Source: RNAcentral
UGCCAGCCGCCGCGGUAAUACAGAGGGUGCAAACGUUGUUCGGAAUCACUGGGCAUAAAGCGCACGUAGGCGGCCCGUUAAGUGUGGUGUGAAAUCCCUCGGCUCAACCGGGGAACUGCAUCUGAUACUGGCGCACUCGAGGAUGGUAGGGGUGAGCGGAACUCCAGGUGGAGCGGUGAAAUGCGUAGAUAUCUGGAGGAACACCGGUGGCGAAGGCGACCUCCUGGACUGAUAUUGACGCUGAGGUGCGAAAGCGUGGGGAGCAAACAGGAUUAGAUA